Long non-coding RNA from Ctenopharyngodon idella (grass carp), 1097 nucleotides. RefSeq lists it as uncharacterized. The transcript is spliced from 3 exons. The record is from RefSeq and is a predicted model, not a curated record. Lineage: Eukaryota; Metazoa; Chordata; Actinopteri; Cypriniformes; Xenocyprididae.
CCAACCUGUAGAGAACAAUGACACUCUUCAGUCUUCAGAAACACUGAUAUAAAUAAUAACAUUUAUAUGAAUUUAUCCUUUUAUUUCAUUGGUUAGAAAGCGCAUGCUACAUUUUUUUCAACUCAGAUCUGUAGCAAAAGUGAAACACUUUCUUUCUAGUAAAGACCUCAAAAUUGUGAUUCAUGCACUAAUUUCUCCUCGUUUGGAUUACUGUAACUCUUUGUAUGUUGGCCUACCUCAAUCUGCACUGUCUUGGUUACAGAUGGUUCAAUUUUCCCUAUAAAAUUUAAAGUCGACUUAAAAAGGGUGGUUCAUUGCGAUUUCACUUUUUUUAACUUUAGUUAGUGUGUCAUGUUGCUGCUUGAGCAUAAACAGUACCUGCAAAGUUACAGUGCUGAAAGUUCAAUGCAAAUGGAGAUAUUGUCUUUUAAAGUUAUGGCAGUUUAAUGCCUACAAUUAUUAACUGUUUGGAUUUGGGUUGGUGACAUCAUAAAUCCUGCGAUUAACAUAAACCCUGCCCCCAGGAACACGCAACAAUGUCAAUGGGAACAGGCCAUGUUGUGUGGCAUUAUGGAAGUGGAAGAAUUGUUAACACUGGACACGCAAUGCGUCAAAAGAUGAUAGAACCCAUUAUAAUCAGUAAUAUUUUCUACACUGGAUGCGGCGCAGAAGACAGCUUCCAGAAUCUACAUGAGUUCAAUGCUGGAUUUGCACAAAGGCUAUUACUGAAAAAUGAAGCAGUUCCCACUUUAAAAGCAGAAGCUGUUGUUUAUAGGCCUCAAACUGGAAAAAGACAUGAAGAAGAUCUGAAAGACUGAGUGUUUUGUCCUUCAUCAAGUUGAGCUCUCUGAAAGGAAGUGGAAAUAUGAGCUGGAUGUCCUGAUUCUCUUUCCCUUCAGCCCAGUCCACAAUGAACUUCUGCACAGAGACUGUUUUUCCAAUGCCAGCAACUCCCUUUGUCAGCACAGUUCUGAUGGGUUUGUCUUGUCCAGGUAAAGGUCUAAAGAUGUCAUUGCAUUUUAUUGGUGUGUCCUCUGUUGCUCCUUUCCUGGAUAGUGUCUCAAUCUGUCUCACCUCAUGCUCAUUAUUGAUCUCUC